CAGGACGAACGCUGGCGGCGUGCUUAACACAUGCAAGUCGAGCGAUGAAGCUCUUCGGAAGUGGAUUAGCGGCGGACGGGUGAGUAACACGUGGGUAACCUGCCUCAUAGAGGGGAAUAGCCUUCCGAAAGGAAGAUUAAUACCGCAUAAGAUUGUAAUAUUGCAUGAUAUAGCAGUUAAAGGAGUAAUCCGCUAUGAGAUGGACCCGCGUCGCAUUAGCUAGUUGGUGAGGUAACGGCUCACCAAGGCGACGAUGCGUAGCCGACCUGAGAGGGUGAUCGGCCACAUUGGGACUGAGACACGGCCCAGACUCCUACGGGAGGCAGCAGUGGGGAAUAUUGCACAAUGGGGGAAACCCUGAUGCAGCCAACGCCGCGUGAGUGAUGACGGUCUUCGGAUUGUAAAGCUCUGUCUUCAGGGACGAUAAUGACGGUACCUGAGGAGGAAGCCACGGCUAACUACGUGCCAGCCGCAGC
RNAcentral lists this ribosomal RNA (476 nucleotides) under uncultured bacterium. RNAcentral describes it as "bacterial SSU rRNA". It matches the Rfam family "Bacterial small subunit ribosomal RNA", at positions 25 to 518 of the family's 1533-position model. The record is from RNAcentral.